Molecule: unclassified non-coding RNA, 690 nt
Filed under: Hevea brasiliensis (rubber tree)
Lineage: Eukaryota; Viridiplantae; Streptophyta; Magnoliopsida; Malpighiales; Euphorbiaceae
Source: RNAcentral
CAUAUAUAUAUAUAUGGAUCAUCAUCUAGCUAGGUUUAACUUUUGGUUCUGAUAAUGGUGAUUGUGCCUCUUCCUUGCGUGUGGAUUCUUGUAAGGGCCACCACGGCUUUCCCUGAAAGGCCUGGUCCGUCAGUUGACACGCAUGGCCUACAAGCAAAAUCACCCACCGGAUGCCUUACCGGCCUUGUCGGUGGCAUUAAGAUCCUCUCAUUGAUAUCGUUUAUGGUCAUGUCACCUUCAACGCCUCCUGGUUUCACUAGUGCAAAUGGAUACACCACCCUAGUUAUCACCCUCUUUUUUCUCUUAUCCUCAACAGGAAGUUGAUGCAGGCUGUCCUUGUCAAAUAUGGACUUCAUUUUAGCUGAGUCUUUGUAGGAAGAAGAUGAAGAAUCGAGAGUUUCAGGAGCUGCUGAUAUUUCCUCUUCUGGGGUUUUCACCUCUGCAAUAACAUUUGCUUCCUCUUCGCUCAUAUUGCUCAUGGGCGUACUUAUGGGUUCAUCUGAAACUCCAUGAAUACUACUGGUAAUGUGACUCAUGCAACUAAAAUUCUCAGACAUUUCCCACUCACAGUUUUCAUUCCAGUAGCUCUUUGCAAGAUGAUGGUCAUCUGAUAUUUUGGUUUGAUCAUCAGGGUACAACAGCAAGCGUCGCCGUUUAGAACGUUCGCUAAAUUCUAGCAAAGCAUCUUCU